Molecule: ribosomal RNA, 396 nt
Filed under: uncultured bacterium
Lineage: Bacteria
Description: partial 16S ribosomal RNA
Rfam family: Bacterial small subunit ribosomal RNA
Source: RNAcentral
AUACGUAGGGGGCAAGCGUUAUCCGGAUUUACUGGGUGUAAAGGGAGCGUAGACGGAAGGCCAAGUCUGAUGUGAAAGCCCGCGGCUCAACUGCGGGACUGCAUUGGAAACUGGUCAUCUGGAGUGCAGGAGGGGUAAGCGGAAUUCCUAGUGUAGCGGUGAAAUGCGUAGAUAUUAGGAAGAACACCGGUGGCGAAGGCGGCUAUCUGGACAGUAACUGACGCUGAGGCGCGAAAGCGUGGGGAGCAAACAGGAUUAGAUACCCUGGUAGUCCACGCUGUAAACGAUGAAUACUAGGUGUGGGGGGACUGACCCCCUCCGUGCCGCAGUUAACACAAUAAGUAUUCCACCUGGGGAGUACGAUCGCAAGAUUGAAACUCAAAGGAAUUGACGGGG